AGUCAUUCUCAUAAUCGCCCACGGGCUUACAUCCUCAUUACUAUUCUGCCUAGCAAACUCAAACUACGAACGCACUCACAGUCGCAUCAUAAUCCUCUCUCAAGGACUUCAAACUCUACUCCCACUAAUAGCUUUUUGAUGACUUCUAGCAAGCCUCGCUAACCUCGCCUUACCCCCCACUAUUAACCUACUGGGAGAACUCUCUGUGCUAGUAACCACGUUCUCCUGAUCAAAUAUCACUCUCCUACUUACAGGACU
RNAcentral lists this long non-coding RNA (258 nucleotides) under Homo sapiens (human). Its description in RNAcentral is "long non-coding RNA NONHSAT135828". The record is from RNAcentral. Lineage: Eukaryota; Metazoa; Chordata; Mammalia; Primates; Hominidae.